This 70-nucleotide transfer RNA is filed under the name Dipodomys ordii (Ord's kangaroo rat). It matches the Rfam family "tRNA". From Rfam's summary of the family: Transfer RNA (tRNA) molecules are approximately 80 nucleotides in length. Their secondary structure includes four short double-helical elements and three loops (D, anti-codon, and T loops). Further hydrogen bonds mediate the characteristic L-shaped molecular structure. tRNAs have two regions of fundamental functional importance: the anti-codon, which is responsible for specific mRNA codon recognition, and the 3' end, to which the tRNAs corresponding amino acid is attached (by aminoacyl-tRNA synthetases). tRNAs cope with the degeneracy of the genetic code in two manners: having more than one tRNA (with a specific anti-codon) for a particular amino acid; and 'wobble' base-pairing, i.e. permitting non-standard base-pairing at the 3rd anti-codon position. Lineage: Eukaryota; Metazoa; Chordata; Mammalia; Rodentia; Heteromyidae. The record is from Rfam by way of RNAcentral.
GGGAAUGUGGCUUAGUGGUAGAGUGCUUGCCCAGCAAGCAUGAAGCCCUGGGUUUGAUUCCUCAGUCCCA